AAAGAAGAUUCACAAAUACGUUUUGACGCUAAAUUUGAAACCAAACUGGUGUAAAACAUUAGUUCCGGUUUUGUGAUCUGGCAUAAGAGUUUCUAUUAGAGUCAAAACAUAAACCACAUUUCUAAAGACGGGCUUGCUAAAACAAUUAUGAUCAUGAUCUUGAAUCCUUAGAUUUCUACCCGGUCUGGGUUUUUCAUAGAAAAUCGUUUAAAUUUUUUUUGGAAAAUCAUAGUACUACCGGGCCGACAGAGAGUCGAACCUACGACCUCUGUCAGUCGUCUGUGAGAAGGGAGACCACUGGGAUACCAGCCCUUCUCGGUUUUUCAUAGUUACCACAAUUAUAUCUCACCAGCCAAAGAUCUCAUAGACAAAAGAGUUACAGUCAUAACUGGUCCACCAUAGAACACUACAACUGCCAAACUCCAUCUCAAUUUAUAUAUAUAUAUAUAGCAUGUUAUUGAUUUAACUUCAAAGUAAACUAAAAAUCGAGCAUCACAUUCAAAGGUGUAAGAGGAACCUCACUGGGGUUUCUCAACAUAAGUUUCUAAAAAUACAUAUAGAUGUAUAUACAUAUUUGUCCAAAAAAAAUGUAUGUACAUAUAAAUUUUAUAGAUACUCAUAAUUAAAUAUUAAUAUUUAUAUAUACAUAAAUAUAUAUAUAUAUAUAUAUAUAUGUAACUUUAGAAUCUCAUGUUGCGAAACCCCCAUUGAAGGUGUUUUAACAAAGACUUUUCAUGGUGUUUUUCCAUGUGGUGCAACAACUUUCUCAUCUGUCAAAAGUCAAUACAAAUCUUCUUUUGUGAAACAGAUGAAUUAUUUUGGUCGCUUUAAUAUGAGUAGUUAAUUUGUGAAUUCAAUGCACUGAUGCAUAUUCCUGCAUAUGAUCAUGAUCGGGUACAUUAGCUACUAAUACUAUAUAUAAAAAUAAAAGUAGAUUUAAUUUUAACGUUAAUUGUUAUGACAUGAUAUGACAUCCAGAGGUACAUUUGAUCUUCAGUGGUUAUGACGACAGUACAUUGGAUCUUUAGUGGUUAUGACUUUUGCUAUACUACAUAUACGAAAUGUAUGUCACAUACUGUCAUAGUUAGAAAACCUGUGUACACUAUAAUUCUUAUAACAAAAUAAUGUUCACACUAUUAACAAAUAUUAUAUACAAGUAUACAACCAACUGACCAAGCAAAUGGACCAAGCAUUGUUUUUCUUUUAAAUCCUUAUUGUACUAAAGUAAAACUUGGAAAUAUUACAAAGAGAAACUUGCGAAGAAAAUAUCUUGGAAACAUAGAAGACAAAAGAAACAAACUUUAUCCUUUUCCCUUUAAGUAGUAAUAGCUAACCACCA
Brassica rapa (field mustard) is the source of this 1339-nucleotide long non-coding RNA. RefSeq lists it as uncharacterized. The record is from RefSeq and is a predicted model, not a curated record. NCBI's taxonomy places the organism in Eukaryota, Viridiplantae, Streptophyta, Magnoliopsida, Brassicales, Brassicaceae.